CACCGCGCCAAGCUCUGAUUGACGUUCGUGGAGCCAAUCAUAGCUAGGGCCUGAGGUGGGCGGAGCCGGGGCGCCCUGCGUGCCCCGGGACGCGCUUGCCUAGAACUCCCCCGUCCGGCAGCAGCCCCCGCGGGGGACAGCUGGCUGGCCCAGCUUCUCAGCUCCUCGGAUGGCCCUCCCUGAAACGCCAGUGCCCAGUGGGAAGACCCGGACCGAAGCGGUCCCUGCAGGUGGAAGCCCGAGGCUCCAUGGGAGGUCCCUUAUUGUCCCUGAGCGCCUGCCCGGAUGAAGAGGGCAUCCCGUGGCUCUGCAAAUACCUGAAGAACGCGCGGGUGACGCUAAGGCAGGAUGAGGUUUGGGGAGAAUCAUCGUGGACAUAAAUGCUGGCCUAUUUGUGCAGGGUGCUCUGGUCAUUGGAGAGGACUUUGAAUAAUAUAGAUGCAAAGUUUGAGUAAAAGCCAGUGAAAUUACCAGGCCUCUUCAGCUUGGCUUGUGGGUUUCCCACACUAAAAAGGUGAGGUUCACAAUAGCCACCACUGGUAAGCUAGGGAGACUCACAGAUGUGCUAGAGAGGAUGGAACGAAGUGUACCCUUGGGAAAGAAGGCAAGUCGGCCUGGCAGGCAGACAGUGUGGCCAAAAAGCCGCUGCAUGGGGGUCAGCACAUGCAAGUGAGUUCCUGCUGCUGCUUGGAUUGGAGGAGGUGUGGCAAGACGCUGGUGAAAACUCAUCCUGAUGGCCAGUCUGAGAAGCAGUCAAGAUGGAGAACUGCAAAAUCUGCACUACGUGUUUUCUGGGAGUCCCUGUACCCAACAACAGGCUCCACCAGGGAUGGCCAGCCCCUGUGUGCUGAGCUCCACAGGCCUGGCCUGCGUUCAGAUCUCCCCCUACUUCUUCACAUGGACAGGGAAGCUGACCCAGGAGCUCCAAGAGUGACCAGAAGGGCACCCAGGCACUUGAGAAACAGUUACCCUUUAUCUAAGAGAUCCACUUCAAGAACUUUCUCCUUGCAUUUCCCAAAAUUUUCCUCUGGGACUCAGUGGGAGGAAACCAGGUCCCAGAGUUGAUUAAAAACAAAUAAACCGGGCACCUGGAUGGCUCAGUA
Mustela erminea (ermine) is the source of this 1103-nucleotide long non-coding RNA. RefSeq lists it as uncharacterized. Lineage: Eukaryota; Metazoa; Chordata; Mammalia; Carnivora; Mustelidae. The record is from RefSeq and is a predicted model, not a curated record. The transcript is spliced from 2 exons.